RNAcentral lists this ribosomal RNA (336 nucleotides) under uncultured bacterium. RNAcentral's name for it is "bacterial SSU rRNA". It matches the Rfam family "Bacterial small subunit ribosomal RNA", at positions 468 to 793 of the family's 1533-position model. The record is from RNAcentral.
UUUGACGUUACCUACAGAAGAAGCACCGGCUAACUCCGUGCCAGCAGCCGCGGUAAUACGGAGGGUGCGAGCGUUAAUCGGAAUUACUGGGCGUAAAGCGCAUGCAGGCGGCCUCGUUAAGUCAGAUGUGAAAGACCCGGGGCGUUAACCUUCGGAAUUGCAUUUGUAAACUAGGCAGGCUAGAGUCUUGUAGAGGGGGGUAGGAAGUUUCAGGUGUAGCGGUGAAAUAGCGUAGAGAUCUGAAGGAAUACCAGUGGCGAAGGCGGCCCCCUCGGACAAAGACUGACGCUCAGAUGCGAAAGCGUGGGGAGCAAACAGGAUUAGAUACCCUGGUAG